RNAcentral lists this long non-coding RNA (7053 nucleotides) under Malus domestica (apple). RNAcentral describes it as "long non-coding RNA (MDOM_LNC009549)". Lineage: Eukaryota; Viridiplantae; Streptophyta; Magnoliopsida; Rosales; Rosaceae. The record is from RNAcentral.
GAAUGAUCCUGAGCAUGCAAAGAAGCUUGCCGCCUUAGCAGAUCUUUAUGUCAACGAUGCCUUUGGGACAGCACAUAGAGCUCAUGCCUCAACUGAGGGAGUCACAAAGUUCUUGAGGCCAUCUGUUGCUGGUUUCCUUUUGCAGAAGGUGAGGCUUCCCAUUCUUGUCUCUGCUGUAUCAUUUACCUUAAUAAUCUGCAGACCUUUCCAAUCCUUCAAGGAAUACAUAUUUCAUAAUUUGAAGCCUUAGUUAUAACUUAUAACUAUUCAAGCUACCAUAAUAUUUAGAUUCAAACAUGCAACUCAUGCUGGCUUGGGUUAUUGGACUGUUAUUGUCACUCUUGCGGAGAGUUUACACAUUAGUAAUUGCUAAGACGUCUUACUAAUUAAAAAUCAUGAUUUCCAAUUUCUGUUUACUUCCUAACAAAAACGUGACAUUACAAAUGUGAUCAAGUAUCAGCCAAACACCCUCACCGCUUUUCUGUAUUAAUUCCUGGUUUAAAUGUUAAUGCUUAUUUAUUCUUCUUAGGAACUUGACUAUCUCGUUGGGGCUGUAUCAAGCCCAAAAAGACCAUUUGCUGCCAUUGUUGGUGGCUCAAAGGUUUCAUCCAAGAUUGGAGUGAUUGAGUCGCUUUUGGAGAAGGUUGAUAUCUUACUUCUUGGUGGAGGUAUGAUUUUCACAUUUUACAAAGCACAAGGUCUCUCAGUCGGUUCAUCUCUGGUGGAAGAAGAUAAACUAGAACUUGCUACAUCACUCAUGGCAAAGGCCAAUGCAAAAGGAGUGUCUCUUUUGCUGCCCACUGAUGUCGUAAUCGCAGACAAGUUUGCCCCUGAUGCAAACAGCAAGGUACAUAAUCUUAAUGUACAUUUACAACUUGAUUCUUCAGAUUCUUCGAUUUGCUCUAUCUUCUUGCUGGAAACUAGUUGAUUCAACGUCAGCAAUAAUAUUGUGUGUUUAUGUUUAACUUUGAUCAGCACUUCAUGUGAAAGAAAUGACAAAUUGGUUUUGUACUUGCAGAUUGUUCCAGCUUCAAGCAUUCCUGACGGGUGGAUGGGAUUGGAUAUUGGUCCAGACUCUAUUAAGACAUUCAAUGAUGCACUGGAUACCACUAAAACCAUAAUCUGGAAUGGACCGAUGGGAGUGUUUGAGUUUGACAAGUUCGCAGAAGGAACAGAGGUAUGCAAGAGUCUUCUUUCUGGUUUUCACUUUUUGUUCAUCAUCGUUCCUAUACAUCUUCUUACGAAUGCAUACUGAGUGGACAAGUGUUAUCUUGUAACGUAGUCAACAUCUAUCUCUUGAGGAUCCUCAAGAGAUGAGAUGGUCAGAUAGAUAGUUCUCGAAUCCUUUUGCACUGUUUACCUAAGUUUAGUUUAAUGUGUUUGACCGUGUCGUAGAUUUGUGUUGUGUGAGGGAACUCUUUAGCUUCUCUCGCCCAUUAUGAUUACUUUAUCCGGCUAUAUGAAUGUGAUGUGUGGGUGGUGAUUUAAGUUGCAACUCUUUCUUUGCAGUCUGUUGCAAAGAAGCUUGCGGAACUUAGUGGGAAGGGAGUGACAACAAUCAUCGGAGGUGGAGAUUCUGUUGCAGCCGUGGAGAAAGUAGGAGUCGCUAGUGUGAUGAGCCACAUAUCAACUGGUGGUGGUGCGAGUUUGGAGUUGUUGGAAGGCAAAGAACUUCCUGGUGUACUUGCUCUUGACGAAGCCACACCAGUUCCUGUGUAAGAACAAUCUUUUUUCCUGUUUGUUUUUUUCCCUGCCCACCGUGUUGGUGUUUCAUUCGAGUCUGUAAACGAGAAAUGGCAUGUAGGAAGAUGUGAGUUCGAGUUGUGAAUGUCUGAUGUUACCUUCAGUAUAAGGUCCCAUUAUGUCUAUAUAAAGUUUCCAUAAGAGAUGGCGGGGAGGGACAAACGCAGCCGUCCGAGCAAUCUAAUAAUUUUGUUCUUUGCGACCCUUUCUUUUUAAUAUGUCUCAAGGUUGGUUCUCUAUCCCAAUCACAAUCCGUUAACCCCUGCGCCCUACGGAUUUGGUUUACGGUUCAAAGUUACAAUUUUGAAUUUUCCAAGCGGCGAAAUUCAAACAUUCAACGGGCUGACAAGUACAAUCUUCAUAAAAUAUAGCUAGUCCUUUCGUUUUCGGACCAAAAAAAAAUAAAAGUUCAAAACCUACGUUGUUUGUCAUGGUACACAAAAGAUGCGUACGGAUUUUGUUUUUUAUUCUAAAACUAGAAUUUUCAGGUACGCUACAGCCUUACGGGUGUUCUCAAUUCAUGUCUGCUGUGCGUGACAAAAUGAUGCCAACAUAUCUAGAUUAAUUACAAGAAAAUAUCAAAAAAUCUCAUCAAACAAAUAAUUCAUUCGUUAUAAUGACAAAACAUAACAAUUACGGGGAAAAUCAACUAAAUAAUUCAUUCGUUACAAUGUCAAAACAUAACAGUCAUGCAUCGUAUUGACAACUACUAUAUAUGCAUCUAAAAAUAUGUGUUCACAUUUCAAAUCUCCUGACCUGAAGGGAACAUUGUCACUGGAAAUCACCUUAGCAGUAAACAAAGAAAAUUAAACAAAAUCAUCCAAAGAUCGAAUCGAGCUAAGUAGAGAUCUAACCCUAUAAAUGUCAUAACCGGUCGUAAUUCUGUAAAACGGAAUUCCUUUCGCCAUCACCUCUGUCCUCAACUUCAUCACGGCCUUGUGUGCAUCAGGACGCCCAGGAUAGUAUAUGGUCAUCCUCUCCUAAUCAUGAGCAUGCCCGAGAAUAUAAUAUGCGAACUCAAUAACAUAUGAACGGCAUUGAUACUGUAUGACUACCUCCUUGGCUUGGGAAAUAAAUGAAAUCUCUUUCGAUUUCCAAUAGUCACAAUUUAACCAUAGACGCUGAAAAGACAAACAAUCAAGUAAAUUGAAUGAAAACAAAACACCAACGAAAUAAAUAACGAGUUUGUGACUACAACGUAAAUCAAUUUAUUGCUUAAUUUGUGAAGUGUAGUCUUACCUCAACAAUAUCUGGAUGCAGAAUAAGAACUUUAACCUUGCGGAUGCUACAAAGAAAAUCAAAUAAGCCAUCAAAAUUACAGGUCAUAAAUGAAGAAGAAGUCUCAGCCUUCUCCAAGCACAUUAAGUUUCCAAGAUUCAGGCGAGUCAUAAAUUCCCCAAACCAUUCCAAAUACUUGAGAUUUGGAGCAGAAAUGUUGACCAAUCUGUCUGUCUUCCCCCCAAUCGGUGCAUUGAAAUGUAAUUUUUCAAGUCUGUCACAUGAGAUGUUAACAUGGCGUUUGUCGUUGUAGGCAUGAGACUCAUACCAAAUUGAUUCCAGAGAUGAGCUUUCAAUGACAAGAUUGUUGACCCCAACACAAUCUUUAAGAAGUAAUUCCUUCAUGCAUGUGCAGCAAGCUGAAAUCCAAUUCAAAAAUCGAUCAUCAUCAUUGUUUAUCGAAACAUCUUUGAACCUCAGGUACGUAUUCGAGAUUAAACGAAGAAUCCAUGGAGGCAACAUCACUAAUCCUGCACUUCAUUUGCACAAGCAGAGAUUUCAACGAUCUACAGUAUAAGAGGGAAGCAGGAAGCUCUCCAAACGUAAUAGGAGUGAUAACAAGAUGAAUCACUUCAACAUUGCACUUCACUGCAAUUUCAAUCCAUUCCCUCAAUAGCGAUUGGAAAUAAACAUCAUAGUCGUCAUCAUGAAAAUAAUCACGAAGGUUCCAACAAAAGCGAAAGCAUUGGAUCUUAUGAUGCACUCCACGUUGAAUGAAGAACCUACUCAAAGUGUACCCACCACACCGGAAAAAUCAUGAAAAAUCAUGUACGGGGUUGACAUAUAAAAAUCUCUGCAUGUUUUGGACACGCAGCCAACCCUAGUGAGGUCUUUGAAGUUGAGGCGGGACAAAAUAUCAUGAGCGAUCUCAGUUGGGAGAUUAGUGAAUCUAUCUAUAUUACUAGCUUGAUCACACCUUGGAGUGGCCAUUGAAAAAGCAAAACAAUCACAGAUUCGCAGACAGGAAGAACAAAACCACUCAACUAUGUUAUAGGUGGAAUUAGGGUUUUUGUGACCUAGAAAAACAAAGGAAUUAGGGUUUUCUGCUGCUUUUGUUGUAUUGGUCUUUCGGUGACGGUGAUCCACUCUUUGUGUCUAGCACUAAAACUUCACUAAUCAACACAUGCAAUACGUGAGUCUUGAUGUACUCAUCAAGAUAGAACGCUUGGUAGUAGUAUGAAGCUUACCUUCGCCGGAAACGGUGAGAAACUCGCCGGAGAAUUGAGCCGCGUCAGAGCUAAAUAAAUCAACGGGUUUGGAUUCGAAUUUCUAGAAACAAAUGUAGAGGAUGGGUGCCGGGUGCUAGGUGGAAUCUAAUGAUGGUGAUUAUGUGGUCUAAUUCCACCGCCUGACGGCGGAACCGUUGCGCCUGUCGCUGGAACGGCGGUGUCUGGAUUCUGUCGAGAGAGAGAUUCAGAGAGAGAAAGUGAAGGGGAAGAGAGACAGAACGGGGAAAAGAGAGUUAAAUUAAACCCUAAUCCACAAUUUGCUACGAAUAUGAGUGCCGCCUAACCAUAGCCUAAUUUUUCUACCAACUUUUUAAUAAAAAAUUUAGUACCAGAUUUAGCCCUAUGUAAAAACACUUUAAAAACCGUGUUAGAAAUUAUUCCUCAAAUAAUUUGUAGUCAAAGAAAAAGAAAAUAGAAAAAAGAGCCUAAGAUCUCUAUGGUGAUAGAGUAUGAUAAGCUCCGUGAUUAAAAAAAUUAGAGAUUAAACCUUUUGGUGAGUCUGUUAGGAUUGAACCCAAAAUUGAAAAUUCAUUCAUUUCUCUCUAAAUAGUAUGCACAUGAAUCUCACAUAAAGGUCGUACCCAGUGCACAAGGUUCCUGCUUUACGCAGGGUCUGGGAGAGGUGAAUGUCGGCUAGCCUUACCCAGUGCACAUGAAUCUCACAUGAGAGAAUAAAAUAUUUAUUCAACGCUCGUAUUCGCUCCGCAUUCCAAAAGAUUAAAUAGCGACGUGGGUGUUAAUUUUAUCGUUUGAAAUCAAACUGAAAUGUGUGAAAUGUAAUCGUUGAUUGAAAUCAGUAAGGUUUGGUUGAUGUUUGAGUAGCCACAUUGAUGGCUAGGAGACAAAUGAAAGGAGCCGUGCAAUCUUGGGUUUUUCGUGGUUCAAUCCACCCGGCGUGGUCUUCUGCUUGAAGUUUUUUUAACCUUUUUUCCAAUCGAUGACCUCCACGUAGCUGGCUUGGUUUAGGCCCCGUUUGGGAUUGAGGUGAUUUUAAAAAAGCAACUGUGAAAAAAAGCUGAGGGUCAUUUUUGUGUUUGGUAAACUGAAAAAAAGGGCUUAUUUUGGAAGCUGCUGUGAGAAUAAGCUGAAAAUCAAAGGAAAAGCUGAAGCUGCUAUUUGCUGCUUUGAAAAAAAGCCAGUUUUUUCAAAGCACACGGAGCUACAGUGCUCCUUUAAUGAAAAGACACACUAUCAUCCUGCUUUUUUUUCCAAAAGCACUUUCACAAAAAAGUUUACCAAACACUCUACUGGCUUUAUUUCACAGCCGCUUAUUCUCACAGCACAGCCGCUUAUUCUCACAGCAGCUUUUUUUCAAAGCACAGCAAUACCAAACCAGCCCUUAGAAUGGUAACUGUUAUUGUCGGUAUGUAUAGGAAGUUGUUAAGUGAGAACUUCUAACUUUAUUUCCUGCUGGAUAAAAAUUCAAUAUCAAAAAACUAAUAAAGAAAGCACAGGUUCGACAAAAAAAGACAGAGCAGAGACAGAUUCUUGAAUGCAACAUUAGCCAAGCCCAUCCAUAAUCGCUUUUCCCAUGCGAAAUCGACUGCUAAGUUUAAUUCAAUUUCUCAUGUGAACUAAAACAUACAAGAAAGAAGGAGCAACGUCAAUCAAAAAACAAAACGUAAAACUCCAUAGGAUUAGUUUUCUCACUCAAACACAAUUCGAUUAAUUUCUAACGAUGAACCCUAACAACCAGCUGAUUCCCAUUUUAUUGUUCCACUCUUUGAUUUCAAUUAAACAUUUCAUUUCAUGCACGCAAAUUCGAUAGCAUAUGAUAAAGGUUAACAACCCACAUCGCGAUUUCAUCGCUCCGCAUUGGGUGGUGACUAUGAAUGAGUAUUAGUUAUUAGCUUCUAACAGUUGAAUAAGAGGGAAAUAACGAUUUUAACCUCACACGUGAGGCUCACGUGCAAGCUGUUAACAGAAGAAUGACAAACUUUCAGUUUAGGGCAUGAAUCAUAACAAACUCACCUCAAGAAUUUUUUUCCUAAUUUUUUUUUCACCAAGAGUACCAUUUAUUCGAUUAGGCAAAAAAAAAAAAAAUUUACAAAAUUUCAAUUGAGAAACGAAUAGCCCUAGCUGCGAACAACCUCCCUCUGUUCUCUUCAUCCCUCACACCUUUCUAAACUCUUCCGUCCACCCCACCCACCCCAAAUUUUAUCUCUAUUUUUCUUCCUAUUAUACAACCCUUGCUUUUGAAUUGCAAAUCAAGAACAUAUAUAUAUAUAUAUAUAUAUGGAUAUGAAUCGUAAAUCCAGAUCUUGCAUGGUAAGAAAUAAAGAGAUAGAAAGAGGAGAAAAAAAAAUGAUGCUAACUUUCCCCGCAACAAAGAGAAAAGGAGUUACCGCUGUCAUAUAUGGUGCUAGUUAUGGAUAUGAAUAUUAAGGUUAGUAUAAAAUAUUUGACCACGUAGUAGCUUUGUUUUGUGUGAGGGAACUCUUUAGCUUCUCUUGCCAUAUGAAUGUGAUGUGUGGGCGGUGAUUUAAGUUGUAACUCUUACUCUGCAGUCUGUAGCAAAGAAGCUUGCAGAACUUAGUGGAAGGGAGUGACAACAAUCAUCGGAGGUGGAGAUUCUGUUGCGGCCGUGGGGAAAGUAGGAAUUGCUAGUGUGAUGAGCCACAUAUCAACUGCUGGUGGUGCGAGUGUGGAGUUGUUGGAAGACAAAGAACUUCCUGGUUACGUUUCAUAUAAGGUCCCAAUAUGUCUCUAUAUAAAGUUUCCAUAAGAGAUGGCAGGGAGGGACAAUGGCAGCCAUUCGAACAAUCUAAUAAAUUUGUUCUUUGCAACAUUUUCUUUUUAAAAU